RNAcentral lists this microRNA (23 nucleotides) under Panagrellus redivivus. Its description in RNAcentral is "prd-miR-7883c-5p". Lineage: Eukaryota; Metazoa; Nematoda; Chromadorea; Rhabditida; Panagrolaimidae. The record is from miRBase by way of RNAcentral.
AUUUGAGUUCACGGUGUACCUUG